Molecule: ribosomal RNA, 1200 nt
Filed under: uncultured Corticiales
Lineage: Eukaryota; Fungi; Basidiomycota; Agaricomycetes
Description: eukaryotic LSU rRNA
Rfam family: Eukaryotic large subunit ribosomal RNA (bases 564-1200)
Source: RNAcentral
AAGGAUCAUUAAUGAACCUUUGAGAGUUGAGCUGGCGAUUUACUUCGCAUGUGCUUGCUCUCUCAUCCUUUAUACACCUGUGCACCUUUUGAGGGGAUAGUAGAUAUGCCUAUGGUAUGUCGAGAUCCCCUCUAACACAUACACUUUAUUUAUUAUCGAAUGUUCAAACGCUUAACAGCAUUUAAAUACAACUUUUAACAACGGAUCUCUUGGCUCUCGCAUCGAUGAAGAACGCAGCGAAAUGCGAUAAGUAAUGUGAAUUGCAGAAUUCAGUGAAUCAUCGAAUCUUUGAACGCACCUUGCGCUCCCUGGUAUUUCGGGGAGCACGCCUGUUCGAGCGUCAUGAAGCUCUCAAACAUAUACUUUUCUUUAUUGCGAAGUAUAUGGUUGGAUUUGGACUCUGCUGUGUAACAAACGGCUGGUCCGAAAGAUAUUAGCUGAUCCUAGUGAGACUUGGUUCUACUCGGCGUGAUAAUUAUCUAACGUCGAGGACAUCGCAAGAUGGCCAGAUCGAAACUUUAUGGAUUGCUUCUAAUCGUCUUCAUCGACAAAUUUUAUCAAUCUGACCUCGAAUCAGGUGGGACUACCCGCUGAACUUAAGCAUAUCAAUAAGCGGAGGAAAAGAAACUAACAAGGAUUCCCCUAGUAACGGCGAGUGAAGCGGGAUGAGCUCAAAUUUAAAAUCUGGUGUCCUUUGGGCAUCCGAGUUGUAGUCUAGAGAAGCAUUUUCCGUGUCGGACCAUGUACAAGUCUCCUGGAACGGAGCGUCAUAGAGGGUGAGAAUCCCGUUCUUGACAUGGACCCCCGAUGCUAUGUGAUGUGCUCUCAAAGAGUCGAGUUGUUUGGGAUUGCAGCUCAAAAUGGGUGGUAAAUUCCAUCUAAAGCUAAAUAUAGGCGAGAGACCGAUAGCGAACAAGUACCGUGAGGGAAAGAUGAAAAGAACUUUGGAAAGAGAGUUAAACAGUACGUGAAAUUGUUGAAAGGGAAACGCUUGAAGUCAGUCGCGUCUUUCAGGGAUCAGCCUUGCUCUGCUUGGUGUACUUCCUGUUCGACGGGUCAGCAUCAGUUUCGGUCGUCGGAAAAAGUGCGCAGGAAUGUGACAUCUUCGGAUGUGUUAUAGCCUGUGUUCGUAUACGGCGGCUGGGACUGAGGACUCAGCACUAGUUGCUUGGGAUGCUGGCAAAAUGGCUUUAAGCGACC